UCCCUGGAGGACUAGUGGUUAGGCCAGUACACUCUCACUGCCAUGGCCUGGGUUCGAUUCCCGGCCAGGGAA
This 72-nucleotide transfer RNA is filed under the name Pangasianodon gigas (Mekong giant catfish). Its description in RNAcentral is "tRNA-Glu". It matches the Rfam family "tRNA". Rfam says of the family: Transfer RNA (tRNA) molecules are approximately 80 nucleotides in length. Lineage: Eukaryota; Metazoa; Chordata; Actinopteri; Siluriformes; Pangasiidae. The record is from RNAcentral.